AUUACUCCUACGGGAGGCAGCAGUGGGGAAUAUUGGACAAUGGGCGAAAGCCUGAUGCAGCAACGCCGCGUGAGGGAUGACGGCCUUCGGGUUGUAAACCUCUUUUAGCAGGGAAGAAGCGAAAGUGACGGUACCUGCAGAAAAAGCGCCGGCUAACUACGUGCCAGCAGCCGCGGUAAUAAU
Molecule: ribosomal RNA, 183 nt
Filed under: uncultured bacterium
Lineage: Bacteria
Description: partial 16S ribosomal RNA
Rfam family: Bacterial small subunit ribosomal RNA
Source: RNAcentral